This 253-nucleotide ribosomal RNA is filed under the name uncultured bacterium. Its description in RNAcentral is "partial 16S ribosomal RNA". It matches the Rfam family "Bacterial small subunit ribosomal RNA", at positions 524 to 776 of the family's 1533-position model. The record is from RNAcentral.
UACGUAGGGGGCUAGCGUUGUCCGGAAUCAUUGGGCGUAAAGCGCGCGUAGGCGGCCAGAUAAGUCCGGUGUGAAAGCCACAGGCUCAACCUGUGAAUGCCGCUGGAAACUGUCUGGCUAGAGUCCGGGAGGGGCGAGUGGAAUUCCUGGUGUAGCGGUGAAAUUCGUAGAUAUCAGGAGGAACACCAAUAGCGAAGGCAGCUUGCUGGGACGGUACUGACGCUAAGGCGCGAAAGCGUGGGGAGCGAACAGG